UACGGAGGGUGCGAGCGUUGUUCGGAAUUAUUGGGCGUAAAGCGCGUGUAGGCGGUUUGUUUAGUCUGAUGUGAAAGCCCUGGGCUCAACCCAGGAAGUGCAUUGGAAACUGGCAAACUUGAGUACGGGAGAGGAAAGUGGAAUUUCGAGUGUAGGGGUGAAAUCCGUAGAUAUUCGAAGGAACACCAGUGGCGAAGGCGGCUUUCUGGACCGAUACUGACGCUGAGACGCGAAAGCGUGGGGAGCAAACAGGAUUAGAUACCCUGGUAGUCCACGCCGUAAACGAUGGGUACUAGGUGUUGCGGGUAUUGACCCCUGCAGUGCCAAAGCUAACGCAUUAAGUACCCCGCCUGGGGAGUACGGCCGCAAGGCUAAA
RNAcentral lists this ribosomal RNA (376 nucleotides) under uncultured bacterium. Its description in RNAcentral is "bacterial SSU rRNA". It matches the Rfam family "Bacterial small subunit ribosomal RNA", at positions 524 to 898 of the family's 1533-position model. The record is from RNAcentral.